AUCCUUUUGUAGUUCAUAAACAUGAUGAUUGGGUGUUCACACUCUUGUGUGAGAUGAGCCUCCCACAAACCUUGUUAGGACUUCAGCACAUUAGCCAUCUGACA
Molecule: small nucleolar RNA, 104 nt
Filed under: Myotis davidii
Lineage: Eukaryota; Metazoa; Chordata; Mammalia; Chiroptera; Vespertilionidae
Description: Small nucleolar RNA U13
Rfam family: Small nucleolar RNA U13
Source: Rfam by way of RNAcentral